GCUGGGCAUGGUGGCACAUGCCUGUAGUCCUAGUUACUUGGGAGGUUAAGGCAGGAGGAUCACUUGAGCCCAAGAGUUCAAGAGUGCAGUCAGCCAUGAUUGCGCCACUGCCCUCUAGCCUGGGCAACAGAGUGAGCCCCUGUCUCAA
This 148-nucleotide non-coding RNA is filed under the name Otolemur garnettii (small-eared galago). Lineage: Eukaryota; Metazoa; Chordata; Mammalia; Primates; Galagidae. The record is from Rfam by way of RNAcentral.